UCUUGGAGGCGAUACUUAUAAACGACUACUCGGCAAGUUGGGUGUUCUUGAGAUUUCAAUCCCACCUCCAACUUGAGGGGGGGUGUUAAGGAUAAACACAUAUUAUUCACAUUAAAGAAGAUCAAACCCAAGCAAACAUGUGCUGGCAAUGCAUAUCCAUAUAGCUGUCAAAGUAUAUCAGGAAAUUGUAUCAUAAUUGUAUUUUAAAAUAGGAUCUCUAUUAUAG
RNAcentral lists this long non-coding RNA (226 nucleotides) under Lathyrus oleraceus (garden pea). RNAcentral describes it as "Pisum sativum (pea) long non-coding RNA (PSAT_LNC026866)". The record is from RNAcentral. Lineage: Eukaryota; Viridiplantae; Streptophyta; Magnoliopsida; Fabales; Fabaceae.